GCUGUCGUUUGCCUCUGCAAAUGCCUCUGCAAAUGCCUUUUGAGACACAGGCAUUCUAAACAGAUGCAUCUUUGUCUCCAAGUUUUUAAUCCAGUAUUAACUCUCUGGGUAGAGAAGAGAUUUGUUCAGUAAGUAUUUUCAUCAUAAAUAGAUUAACUGGAUCAUUUAUCUGAAUCAAGAUUUAAUGCUUCUGAUCGCAAAUUGGCCAUUUCAUGGACAUACCCAGAGCCAGUGUCUCUAGCAGCAACUAGCUCUAAGGUUGUCUUCAGUUUCAGGUUCCCACCUUACUCUUUGCCCAGUCUAGUGGCAUCCCUGCGAUUUUUUAUUUUUUUAAUUUUUUUUAUUUUUAGCAUUUCUGUACUCUCUCCUGCCCUCUCACCAACUCUGUUGAACUUUUCACUCACACCUCUAGGCAGCAACCUAGUUAUAGCUGUCAUAUUUCCCUUCCCACACAACCAGGAGGGAUGGCCCUUUUGGGGUUAAGUCUUCUCCUUUCACAAAGAAGAGAUGCACCAGCUUUAGAGAGGUCCCUGCUCUUCUGAUAGUUUUUGUGUUUGGAAAGGUGAGGAACAGAGGUGAAGAUGAAUCAAUGGAGAUGUUGAAGGAACUGAGUUAUAAAAAGCUGCCAGAGGCAUAUGGCAAGGAAAUCAGGGCCUGACGGGUUUUUGGCAGGAAUAGAGCAAAGUUAAAAAAUGAAUAAUACAGCUGGCUGAUGUCUGAAAUAAACAUUUUAUAACCAUAACAAUACUGGUAUUUCAGUAUAUAUGUGUGUGUAUGUAUUUAUGUAUUUGUUGGUUAUAGCAUGUACUACACUUUAUUAAAAAUGAUUUGCCUUUCUAAUUACACCUUCCUUGAGCAAACAUCAUUUUCGUGGUUAAAAAAAACAACACACCAAUGGUUAGAGGAGCUCAAGACUAAACAAUUACCCUGGAUUUUUACAAUUGAAAAAGUUUGCAAUCUUUACAUGAAAUGUUCUUACUUAUUAUUGAUGAU
RNAcentral lists this long non-coding RNA (993 nucleotides) under Homo sapiens (human). RNAcentral's name for it is "HSALNT0142695". The record is from RNAcentral. Lineage: Eukaryota; Metazoa; Chordata; Mammalia; Primates; Hominidae.